AAUUUGGGGCCACCCAGCCAAAAAUUCAGUUUUUGGUUAAAAACCCUAAGGUGGCCUUAAAAAAUAAAGUUUUCUCCCCCUUAAAAUUUCUUUUCCAAAACCAAACCCCAAGGGUAUUUGCUUAAAAUAACCAAACCCCGGGGUUUGAGGAGAAAUGACGCUUCAAAACAGGCAUGCCCCUUGAAAUACCCAAAGGCGCUAUUGCUUUCAAAGGUUCGUGAUUCCAGGAAAAUUUGCAAUUCCUUAUUACGUAUCGCAUUUCGUUGCUUUUUUUAUCGAUGCGGAACCCCAAAGUUCCGUUGUUGAAAGUUUUGACUAUGGUAAUAAUAAAUUCAAGUUUGACUGUAAAUAAAAAGUUUGGUUAAGUAAUAACUUUGGGCGGGGGGGGGCCCCGGCCCCCCAAGGGGAAGUGGUUCCAAAAAAAAAACCCCUGGGGGCAAUUUAGCGGAGUCCCGAGAGAACCCCCUUUUUCCCGGGGGGGGGGGCUCGGAAGGAUCAUUACUGAUUUGCUUAAUUGCACCACAUGUGUUUUUUAUUGAACAAAUUUCUUUGGUGGCGGGAGCAAUCCUACCGCCAGAGGUUAUAACUAAACCAAACUUUUUAUUUACAGUCAAACUUGAUUUAUUAUUACAAUAGUCAAAACUUUCAACAACGGAUCUCUUGGUUCUCGCAUCGAUGAAGAACGCAGCGAAAUGCGAUACGUAAUAUGAAUUGCAGAUAUUCGUGAAUCAUCGAAUCUUUGAACGCACAUUGCGCCCUUUGGUAUUCCAAAGGGCAUGCCUGUUUGAGCGUCAUUUCUCCCUCAAACCCCCGGGUUUGGUGUUGAGCAAUACGCUAGGUUUGUUUGAAAGAAUUUAACGUGGAAACUUAUUUUAAGCGACUUAGGUUUAUCCAAAAACGCUUAUUUUGCUAGUGGCCACCACAAUUUAUUUCAUAACUUUGACCUCAAAUCAGGUAGGACUACCCGCUGAACUUAAGCAUAUCAAUAAGCCGGAGGAAAAAGGAUCAUUACUGAUUUGCUUAAUUGCACACAUGUGGUCUUUUAUUGAACAAAUUUCUUUGGUGGCGGGAGCAAUCUACCGCCAGAGGUUAUAACUAAACCAAACUUUUUAUUUACAGUCAAACUUGAUUUAUUAUUACCAUAGUCAAAACUUUCAACAACGGAGCUCUUGGUUCUCGCAUCGAUGACAGACGCAGCGCAAUGCGAUACGUAAUAUGAAAUUGCAGAUAUUCGUGAAAUCAUCGAAUCUUUUGAACGCACAUUGCGCCCUUUGGGUAUUCCAAAGGGGCAUGCCUGUUUUGGAGCGUCAUUUUCUCCCUCAAACCCGGGGGUUUGGGUGGUUUGAAGCAAAUACCCCUAAGGUUUUUGUUUUUGAAAAAGAAAAUUUUAACCGUGGGCAAAACUUUAUUUUUUUAAGGCCCACUUUAGGGGUUUUAAUCCAAAAAACCUUUAUUUUUUUGCCUUGGGGGGGCCCCCAAAUUUUUUAAUUUUCCAAAACCUUUUUGGACCUCCAAAAUCCGGGGGGAAGGGAACUAACCCCCUGGGAAAAUUUGAAGGCGGAAUUCAAUUAAUUCAGGGGUGAGGGGAAAAAAA
Molecule: ribosomal RNA, 1594 nt
Filed under: Candida tropicalis
Lineage: Eukaryota; Fungi; Ascomycota; Pichiomycetes; Serinales; Debaryomycetaceae
Description: partial 18S ribosomal RNA
Rfam family: 5.8S ribosomal RNA (bases 641-794)
Source: RNAcentral